GGUGAUCAUAAUAACUUCUCGAAUCGCAUGGCCUUGUCGCGGGAUGCUUCGUUCAAAUAUCUGCCCUAUCAACUUUCGAUGGUAGGAUAGAGGCUACCAUGGUUUUGACGGGUAACGGGGAAUAAGGGUUCGAUUCCGGAGAAGGGAGCUGAGAAACGGUACCACAUCCACGGAAGGCAGCAGGCGCGCAAAAUUACCAAUCCCGAACGGGGAGGUAGUGACAAUAAAUAACAAUAUAGGGCCCUUUUGGGUCUUAUAAUUGGAAUGAGUACAAUUUAAAUCCGUUAACGAGGAACAAUUGGAGGGCAAGUCUGGUGCCAGCAGCCGGGUAAUUCCAGUCCAAUAGCGUAUAUUAAAGUUGUUGCAGUUAAAAAAGCUCGUAGUUGAACUUCAGACCUGAACCGGGCGGGUCCCGCCUAAACGGUUGUUGGU
This 432-nucleotide ribosomal RNA is filed under the name uncultured fungus. RNAcentral's name for it is "SSU rRNA". It matches the Rfam family "Eukaryotic small subunit ribosomal RNA", at positions 246 to 682 of the family's 1831-position model. The record is from RNAcentral. Lineage: Eukaryota; Fungi.